RNAcentral lists this ribosomal RNA (912 nucleotides) under uncultured bacterium. RNAcentral describes it as "bacterial SSU rRNA". It matches the Rfam family "Bacterial small subunit ribosomal RNA", at positions 60 to 985 of the family's 1533-position model. The record is from RNAcentral.
GGCGAAGUAGGAUGUGUUCUUCGGAAUGCGUUCUACUUAGCGGCGGACGGGUGAGUAACGCGUGAGGAACCUGCCUCUCACAGAGGGAUAGCCUCGGGAAACUGAGGGUAAUACCUCAUGAGACUUAUAUACCGCAUGGUAUGUAAGUUAAAGCGAUUUAGCGGUGAGAGAUGGCCUCGCGUCCCAUUAGCUAGUUGGUGAGGUAACGGCUCACCAAGGCGACGAUGGGUAGCCGGCCUGAGAGGGUGGACGGCCACACUGGAACUGAGACACGGUCCAGACUCCUACGGGAGGCAGCAGUGGGGGAUAUUGCACAAUGGGGGAAACCCUGAUGCAGCGACGCCGCGUGAGCGAAGAAGGCCUUCGGGUCGUAAAGCUCUGUCCUAAGGGAAGAUAAUGACGGUACCUUAGGAGGAAGCCCCGGCUAACUACGUGCCAGCAGCCGCGGUAAAACGUAGGGGGCGAGCGUUGUCCGGAAUUACUGGGCGUAAAGGGUGCGUAGGCGGCUAUUUAAGUCAGAUGUGAAAGGCUACGGCUCAACCGUAGUGAGCAUUUGAAACUGAAUAGCUUGAGUCAAGGAGAGGGAAGUGGAAUUCCUGGUGUAGCGGUGAAAUGCGUAGAUAUCAGGAGGAAUACCAGUGGCGAAGGCGACUUCCUGGCCUUAGACUGACGCUGAGGCACGAAAGCGUGGGGAGCAAACAGGAUUAGAUACCCUGGUAGUCCACGCCGUAAACGAUGAGUGCUAGGUGUUGGGGAGGUUACUCUUCAGUGCCGCAGCUAACGCAAUAAGCACUCCGCUUGGGGGAGUACGGUCGCAAGAUUAAAACUCAAAGGAAUUGACGGGGACCCGCACAAGNNGCGGAGCAUGUGGUUUAAUUCGAAGCAACGCGAAGAACCUUACCUAGACNNGNC